AGAUGAUCUCCUUACAUGUGGAUGGCUGAAUCUAGCAUAUGAGUUUAGUUAUUUCUGUGGGUCGAUGACAGUCCAGCUCCAUAACAGCUGUGACACUCAGAGUCAUUGAACAAAAUUCUUAAAGUCCACGAAUCUUGAGAUAAGGAGCCUAGAUGGAGACGUGGAGCAACGUGACUGCUGCUCAUCGUCUUUGAAACAAUUACCAAGCUGCAUGGCCGUCAGAAUCUUUCACAGAUAGAGAAAGCCUGCCCAGAGUCACAUAGUAUCUGGAUGGAGAGAGAGAAGAAAAGGGCCCCUCACAGCACUGGUUUCUGCAUAUUAUACCAGGAACUCUUAACACUGUGGUGAAAUGAGCUGGAAUAUCAGUCAAGAACCUUGGGAUGGAUGAUGAGAAGAUGUUAUUUCCCUGCUCCCUACCACAUAGCCCGUGUCAAUUGCUAUAAC
Molecule: long non-coding RNA, 444 nt
Filed under: Callithrix jacchus (white-tufted-ear marmoset)
Lineage: Eukaryota; Metazoa; Chordata; Mammalia; Primates; Cebidae
Description: lncRNA (ENSCJAG00000076329.1)
Source: RNAcentral